This 234-nucleotide unclassified non-coding RNA is filed under the name Bombus terrestris (buff-tailed bumblebee). RNAcentral describes it as "misc RNA ENSBTSG00005024844.1". Lineage: Eukaryota; Metazoa; Arthropoda; Insecta; Hymenoptera; Apidae. The record is from RNAcentral.
GGGUACACCGUUUUUUUGUUGUUUUUAGAUACAAGUGACGAGAAAUUAUGAAAUGAUAUUUUAAAUUUAAACUGAUUUCAUUCAUUGAUUUAUUGUAGCGACAAUGGUAACUUGUUUAAAUAAAGAUUUUAUAAAUAAAAUAAAACAAAAAAAAAAAAAAAAAAAAAAAAAAAAAAAAAAGAAAGAAAGAAAAAAAAAGAAAAGAAAAGAAAAAAGAAAAAAGAAAAAGAAAAA